CCGAAGGCAGAGGCUUUAACCCACUGAGCCACCCAGGCACCCCUUAUCUGCAAAUCUUGAGACAGGUCUCUGUAAGGCCUUAUGUUUUCAAAUACUAGAAGUGUUGUUGGUUGGGAAUUUGUGUAAAUCAGGGCGCGUGGUUGCAAAGAAUAGAAAGGAUUCUCAAAUCAACUUCAUAGAAGAGAUCUAUUUGUUUGCUCACAUACCUGAAAGUCUGAGAUACAGCUGAUUUGAGGUAUAGUUGGGAACAAGGGUUUAAAUGACGCUAGUGGUUUUCCUCUCCGUUUCUUAUCUCUGUUUAUGUUAACACCUUAUCCUCUUUUUCUUGUAAUAUAGAAAAGUUUCUACCAUGUGACUUGGGAAGAUGACAGUUAAGCAGCCUCAAAUUUAAAUCUUCCCAUGUCUGUGACUCCAAAGAUAAAGAGAAAAUAUACGUUACCUGAACGACUUAACAGGCACGUGGAGGACUCUGAUUGGCCCAUGGUGGACCUUGUGCUCAGCUCUGUUGGUGAAUCACUGUUGCUGGAGACUGGUGAAAAUUUAUUACUGGCUGACCCCAACCUGGGAAUCCACUUCGGGUCACUCUAAUCUGAAAGAAUUAGUCCCGAGGAUCUAAAACUUCAAGCUCUGAAAAAAGCAGCUGGCUGGAGUUUUUAUCACCAAAACCAAACUGCUGGGAGCAUUCUGAUCCCUGGGACUGUUCCUGCCUCACCCUGCUGAUCUUAAAAAGACUGUGAUGGGACCUUAUCAGUGAUUCCGCUAAACUGGUCCAAAUCAUGAAUAUCACAUAUAUACUUCCCCGUUUCUCUUCUUCCUUCAACCUUUACUAUAACCCCACUUCCUUUCUCUGACAUGUCACUGUGGAGUUGGCAGGGGGAUUAAUUGGAAAGUUGACAAAUAUAAUACAAUAAAUAAGGAAUAUUCAAACUUUGAAACAAAUGACCUCUGCUGGCUGAGCAGUUUUUUAUUUAUACAAUGAUGAUGUUAAUACUUAUACAGAAUUUGUGAGCACUGAAAUGAAAUACUUAAAGCAUUUAAAAAUACUAUUGAAGGGGCACCUGGGUGGCUUAGUCAUUAAGCAUCUGCCUUCAGC
Molecule: long non-coding RNA, 1093 nt
Organism: Mustela erminea (ermine)
Lineage: Eukaryota; Metazoa; Chordata; Mammalia; Carnivora; Mustelidae
Exons: 3
Source: RefSeq, a predicted model, not a curated record